GAUUAUGGCUCAGGAUGAACGCUGGCGGCGUGCCUAACACAUUCAAGUCGAACGGACGCGUUCCCUCGGGGGACAAGUUAGUGGCGGACGGGUGAGUAAUGCAUGAGCAACCUGCCUCGAAGAGGGGAAUAACACAGAGAAAUUUGUGCUAAUACCGCAUAAUGUAUCCGGGAGGCAUCUUCCGGAUAAGAAAGGAGCAAUCCGCUUUGAGAUGGGCUCAUGUCUGAUUAGACAGUUGGCGGGUAACGGCCCACCAAAUCUACGAUCAGUAGCCGGACUGAGAGGUUGAACGGCCACAUUGGGACUGAGACACGGCCCAGACUCCUACGGGAGGCAGCAGUGGGGAAUAUUGGACAAUGGGCGAAAGCCUGAUCCAAGCGACGCCGCGUGAAGGAAGAAGGUCUUCGGAUUGUAAACUUUAGUGAGCAGGGACGAUAAUGACGGUACCUGCAUAGCAAGCCACGGCUAACUACGUGCCAGCAGCGGC
RNAcentral lists this ribosomal RNA (487 nucleotides) under uncultured bacterium. RNAcentral's name for it is "bacterial SSU rRNA". It matches the Rfam family "Bacterial small subunit ribosomal RNA", at positions 15 to 518 of the family's 1533-position model. The record is from RNAcentral.